AAGUCGUAACAAGGUAACCGUAGGUGAACCUGCGGUUGGAUCAUUAUUGAAAAAUAAUAUCAUUUUUUUUUAAAUAGGAAAGUGCCUAUGAACCUCUAAAAGGGGAUAGUAGGUCUUCCUAUUCAAAAAAAAAAUAUCAACCUAAACCUUGUGAAAUGAUAUAAUCAUGUCUUUGGAGUCACUUAUUGUAUUAUGAAAGGUCUUAACAACUUUUCUUUUAAUACAAAGAUGAGGACUCCUACUUAUAAACUUAUUUUUAAUAUACUUAUUCUUUUAAUACUAAAAAAAACGAAUAGCCAAUAAGGAGAAAUCUUUUAUUUGUACUAAUCGUUUUUGAAAGUUAUAAUAACAAAUAACUAGUAAAAAACUUUUGACAAUGGAUCUCUUGGCUCUC
This 394-nucleotide unclassified non-coding RNA is filed under the name fungal sp. RNAcentral describes it as "partial internal transcribed spacer region". The stretch from base 1 to 46 matches the Rfam family "Eukaryotic small subunit ribosomal RNA", at positions 1786 to 1831 of the family's 1831-position model. Lineage: Eukaryota; Fungi. The record is from RNAcentral.